AAAGGGCGGUCUUGGCAUGAGGGAGACAAGCUGUUUUGAACUCCAGUAAACACAUUCAGUGUGUGAUCAUCAUGAGCAGCUCCUGCAGCCUUUCCACGGUAGGCAGGCAGCAAGCAACGUGAGCUAAUGAACUGUGUUUUAACCACCUGAUGCUGGCCAGGGCUUUAAUCUAUCAGGCUUAAGGGCUGCAUGGAGGAGGGGAGGCAGAGAGCUUGGGCACACCCCAGCACCACUGAAACUGUUCAUCAGCCCGCUCUGCAGUCUACUGCAGAGUUUGCUUUAUUAAAGCUCCCUGCUGCCUGCACACGUUCACUGGCACAGACAUCGGGAGACAAGCAAACACUUACCCGAGUGCAGAGUACUCGCUGCUGCAUUGCAGGGUUUGCUGGCACAAAGCGAUGGGGAUCAGAGAGAAACCCUUGUUCACAUGUGGUACCUGAGCCAGCAGAGCUCCUGAUGGCCCUGCUGCUGCAGCACUGACAUCAGUGAAAUCACACCAUUGUGAUGCAGGAAAAACAGUCCCUGGGAUCCAGUGAGAUAUGAAGAAUUUAUACCAGCAGGAUGAAGAGUCCACCUCCUGCAUGACAGUUAAUGCCAUGUACCUGCCCUCCAGGAAACAUGGGGAAAUGCACAGAGUUCAACAUCUCAUUCUUCAGGCUGCUCAGCCCAGAGCAGAGCAGGCUGAGGGGAGGCCUCAUGGCGGCCUGCAGCUCCCUCACAAGAGGAGCGGAGGGGCAGGCACUGAGCUCUGCUCUCUGGGGACAGCGACAGGACCCG
This is a long non-coding RNA of Oxyura jamaicensis (ruddy duck), 777 nucleotides long. RefSeq lists it as uncharacterized. NCBI's taxonomy places the organism in Eukaryota, Metazoa, Chordata, Aves, Anseriformes, Anatidae. The transcript is spliced from 3 exons. The record is from RefSeq and is a predicted model, not a curated record.